Molecule: long non-coding RNA, 898 nt
Filed under: Coturnix japonica (Japanese quail)
Lineage: Eukaryota; Metazoa; Chordata; Aves; Galliformes; Phasianidae
Description: lncRNA (ENSCJPG00005007374.1)
Source: RNAcentral
UAGAAGUGCCACUCUGCUACACAGGGGCUUGAAUCCCGGGGGUUGGACUCGAUGAUGUCUAAGGUCCCUUCCAUCCUGCAUGAGACUUUAAGAUUGUGAUACCUUGACAUUUUUAUCACUGAUACUAAAUGUAUGGACAAGACUAACAAAGUAAAAAGGUACUACUGCAUUCAGUUAAAUGGAGAUUCUUCAGUCAUUGUGAGGUUUAGUAAUUCAGAAUAAAAUUACAGCUGCAUCAAGAAAGUUUUUUUUUUCUCAUGUCAUAUAGCAAAUAUUCCAGAGAGAACUAAUGGCAGUUCAGCCCUGGGGGCUGGGGGAGAGGGGGGGGGGGGGGGGGGAAAUCCCCUUUUUAAGUAAUGAACCAUUUUUAAAGCAAAACAAUACAUCAGAGGACCCAAAUGUUUUCCCUAGAACUGCCUUGUUCAUGAAAUGGAAAAUAAAAUUAAAAUUAAAUAUUUUCCAGGAGGGAAUACAUGUAACAUAUAAAAAGUCUCGUUUUGGAACACAGUCUGGAUGCUCAUUUCUGUGCUGUAUGUUCACUAUAACUGCUGAAGUAGGUUUUGCCCCAGCAGAUAAGACCUUCAACAAUGUGAUUUCUAAAGCUGUAGCUGUCUGGGGAUCUGACCUGAUCAGACUGUUUGCUAUCCUGAAGGGAGAUUUCAUCCUGCCCUUCCUCCUCCUUGGAACUCUUCAUUCCCAUUCCACCUGAAAGAAAAAGGAUAUGAGAGUAGGAUCUCUUGUUUCUGCUUAUGAAAAGGUAGAAAAUCUGCUGAUGCUUUUUAGUAUAAUUAUACAUAAAUAUACACAUUUAUCUUUACCUUGUAUUUUUAUUUCUACUGAAGAAUGCCCUGGGUUUUUUAAAUUAAUUUUUGUAUAAAUGAUCACAAACAGAUCUAGG